AUACUUCGUGGGCAGGGAUGAUACUGUGUUUACAAAAGUGCUUGCCCAGGGUGAGGUUUAUCCAUUACUCUCUGGAUAUGCUGACCCUCCAAUUUCUCUGAAUGUGGAAAAGUCAUCUGCAGGUUUUGAUAGUGGUGGACUGUGUUCACACUUUUCCCUG
Octodon degus (degu) is the source of this 160-nucleotide small nuclear RNA. Its record names the gene U1. It matches the Rfam family "U1 spliceosomal RNA". From Rfam's summary of the family: U1 is a small nuclear RNA (snRNA) component of the spliceosome (involved in pre-mRNA splicing). The record is from Ensembl. Lineage: Eukaryota; Metazoa; Chordata; Mammalia; Rodentia; Octodontidae.